This 501-nucleotide ribosomal RNA is filed under the name uncultured bacterium. Its description in RNAcentral is "partial 16S ribosomal RNA". It matches the Rfam family "Bacterial small subunit ribosomal RNA", at positions 30 to 523 of the family's 1533-position model. The record is from RNAcentral.
AUUGAACGCUGGCGGCAGGCUUAACACAUGCAAGUCGAGCGGGGGAAGGUAGCUUGCUACCGGACCUAGCGGCGGACGGGUGAGUAAUGCUUAGGAAUCUGCCUAUUAGUGGGGGACAACAUCUCGAAAGGGAUGCUAAUACCGCAUACGUCCUACGGGAGAAAGCAGGGGAUCUUCGGACCUUGCGCUAAUAGAUGAGCCUACGUCGGAUGAGCUAGUUGGUGGGGUAAAGGCCUACCAAGGCGACGAUCUGUAUCGGGUCUGAGAGGAUGAUCCGCCACACUGGGACUGAGACACGGCCCAGACUCCUACGGGAGGCAGCAGUGGGGAAUAUUGGACAAUGGGGGGAACCCUGAUCCAGCCAUGCCGCGUGUGUGAAGAAGGCCUUAUGGUUGUAAAGCACUUUAAGCGAGGAGGAGGCUACUCUAGUUAAUACCUAGGGAUAGUGGACGUUACUCGCAGAAUAAGCACCGGCUAACUCUGUGCCAGCCGCCGCCGUAA